AUUCCCCUAGUACGGCGAGUGAGCGGGAAGAGCUCAAAUUUGAAAUCUGGUAGCCUUCGGUUGCCCGAGUUGUAAUCUAGAGAAGUGUUUUCCGUGCCGGCCCAUGUACAAGUCCCUUGGAACAGGGCGUCAUAGAGGGUGAGAAUCCCGUCCUUGACAUGGACCCCCGGUGCUUUGUGAUACACUUUCAACGAGUCGAGUUGUUUGGGAAUGCAGCUCAAAAUGGGUGGUGAAUUCCAUCUAAAGCUAAAUAUUGGCGAGAGACCGAUAGCGAACAAGUACCGUGAGGGAAAGAUGAAAAGCACUUUGGAAAGAGAGUUAAACAGUACGUGAAAUUGUUGAAAGGGAAACGAUUGAAGUCAGUCAUGCUCUUAGGAUUCAGCCGUUCUGCGGUGUAUUUCCUUUGAGUGGGGUCAACAUCAGUUUUGAUCGAUGGAUAAAGGCACGAGGAAGGUAGCACUCUCGGGUGAACUUAUAGCCUCGCGUCAUAUACAUUGAUUGGGACUGAGGAACGCAGCAUGCCUUUAUGGCCGGGAUUCGUCCACGUACAUGCUUAGGAUGUUGACAUAAUGGCUUUAAACGAC
Molecule: ribosomal RNA, 584 nt
Filed under: Naganishia adeliensis
Lineage: Eukaryota; Fungi; Basidiomycota; Tremellomycetes; Filobasidiales; Filobasidiaceae
Description: partial large subunit ribosomal RNA
Rfam family: Eukaryotic large subunit ribosomal RNA
Source: RNAcentral